RNAcentral lists this non-coding RNA (26 nucleotides) under Rattus norvegicus (Norway rat). The record is from RNAcentral. Lineage: Eukaryota; Metazoa; Chordata; Mammalia; Rodentia; Muridae.
UUUAUCUUUCACCUGGCUACAUGACU